UAUACAUCCAAACUCAAAUUUUCAACCAUUUUCAAACUUCUUCUUCCUCGAGCCAUACAAGCCAAAAACCCUAUUUCUUCAUCAUUUUGGUGGAUUCAUGGUGCAAACAACUUUAUUUUAUAAUUCUAAAGUAACCCAUGAGAUCAAAAUCGUGUUUUAAGCAACAAAUCCAAAAAACCCAAAUUUCAAACCUAGAAUCCAGAAUUUCAAAACCUCCAUUGAAAUGACUUCAAGUUCAAAUCCUAAGUGUUUCAAGUCCAAAAGCUCCCAUGAAAAGGGUAAUACAUCAAAAUCCAAUAACCUACUUGACAUUUCAAGGCUUCUCUCAAAUGAGCAACAAAAGCAAGUGUUCUAUGAAGGACUUUUGGGAAAACCCCUUCUUCCAACAAAGUACACUCACUUUGCAAGAUUCCUUUAUAUUAGUCUUUUCACCUUCAUUGAUCAUCUGCAUUUUCAAGGGUUAGAGGAUUUUCAUCAAGACAAAGGAGUCUACUACCCUGAUUUGGUUCGUAUAUUCUACUACAAUCUUUAAGAAUAAAAAACCAUAUCCCAUAUUAAAUUUACUUUUAUUUGUUUAGACUUAGAAAGUCUAUGAGAAUUAUUGCAUGUGUCUGUUCAUUGUGCCAAACUUAGAUUUAGCAAUCCCUAAGAAUUUGAUAGGAAAUAAUUUUAUAUCUCCUUAUGCACAUAUGCUAAGAGGGAUAUACUAUCCCUAAAGAGACAAUGAGUUAGAUAUUCUUCGAAAACUCGAGAUAUUUUAACUGUUGGAAAUCUAACACUGGAUAAUCAUAUGUUACAUUAUUUCCGUGGUUACAUUAUGGUUCCUAAGACAUCAAAUCAUGGUCAAAUAAAUGACCUAUAAAUUCAACUGAUGGAUGCCAUUAAGAUAUCGACAUAGGAAGUUAACUGG
RNAcentral lists this long non-coding RNA (910 nucleotides) under Lupinus mutabilis. RNAcentral describes it as "partial ncRNA". The record is from RNAcentral. Lineage: Eukaryota; Viridiplantae; Streptophyta; Magnoliopsida; Fabales; Fabaceae.